GAAAAUAUAGCUUAUUAAAGCUCUUCGCUGUAAACGGAUAUGAUACAGGUUAAAGUCCUCUUAUUUUCA
RNAcentral lists this transfer RNA (69 nucleotides) under Tabachnickia sp. DVL-2014. Its description in RNAcentral is "tRNA-Tyr". It matches the Rfam family "tRNA". From Rfam's summary of the family: Transfer RNA (tRNA) molecules are approximately 80 nucleotides in length. Their secondary structure includes four short double-helical elements and three loops (D, anti-codon, and T loops). The record is from RNAcentral. Lineage: Eukaryota; Metazoa; Porifera; Hexactinellida; Amphidiscosida; Hyalonematidae.